GAUGAACGCUGGCGGCGUGCUUAACACAUGCAAGUCGAACGAGAAGUGAAGACGGAAACCUUCGGGCGGAAGGCUUUAUUUCGAGUGGCGGACGGGUGAGUAACGCGUGGGUAACCUGCCUCAUACAGGGGGAUAACAGUUGGAAACGACUGUUAAUACCGCAUAAGACCACAGCACCGCAUGGUGCGGGGGUAAAAACUCCGGUGGUAUGAGAUGGACCCGCGUUCGAUUAGCCAGUUGGCGGGGUAACGGCCCACCAAAGCGACGAUCGAUAGCCGAUCUGAGAGGAUGACCGGCCACAUUGGGACUGAGACACGGCCCAAACUCCUACGGGAGGCAGCAGUGGGGAAUAUUGCACAAUGGGGGAAACCCUGAUGCAGCGACGCCGCGUGAGUGAAGAAGUAUUUCGGUAUGUAAAGCUCUAUCAGCAGGGAAGAAAAUGACGGUACCUGAGUAAGAAGCCCCGGCUAACAACGUG
This 478-nucleotide ribosomal RNA is filed under the name uncultured bacterium. RNAcentral describes it as "partial 16S ribosomal RNA". It matches the Rfam family "Bacterial small subunit ribosomal RNA", at positions 28 to 507 of the family's 1533-position model. The record is from RNAcentral.